GAGUUUGAUCGUGGCUCAGAUUGAACGCUGGCGGCAUGCCUUACACAUGCAAGUCGAACGGCAGCACGGGAGCUUGCUCCUGGUGGCGAGUGGCGAACGGGUGAGUAAUGCAUCGGAACGUAUCCUGGAGUGGGGGAUAACGUAGCGAAAGUUACGCUAAUACCGCAUAUUCUGUGAGCAGGAAAGCGGGGGACCUUCGGGCCUCGCGCUCUUGGAGCGGCCGAUGUCGGAUUAGCUAGUUGGUGAGGUAAAGGCUCACCAAGGCGACGAUCCGUAGCAGGUCUGAGAGGAUGAUCUGCCACACUGGAACUGAGACACGGUCCAGACUCCUACGGGAGGCAGCAGUGGGAAUUUUGGACAAUGGGGCAACCCUGAUCCAGCCAUGCCGCGUGAGUGAAGAAGGCCUGGUUGUAAGACGUCUUCGUCGAGG
Molecule: ribosomal RNA, 430 nt
Filed under: bacterium enrichment culture clone ALO1_GLFRUDD03GYYA9
Lineage: Bacteria
Description: bacterial SSU rRNA
Rfam family: Bacterial small subunit ribosomal RNA
Source: RNAcentral